UACAGAGGGUGCGAGCGUUAAUCGGAAUUACUGGGCGUAAAGGGUGAGUAGGUGGUUGUUUAAGUCGUUUGUGAAAUUCCCGGGCUUAACCUGGGCGCUGCGAACGAGACUGGACGACUGGAGUAGAGUAGAGGGAAGUGGAAUUUCCGGUGUAGCAGUGAAAUGCGUAGAGAUCGGAAGGAACACCAGUGGCGAAGGCGGCUACCUGGACAAAUACUGACGCUGAGGCGCGAAAGCGUGGGGAGCAAACAGG
This 253-nucleotide ribosomal RNA is filed under the name uncultured bacterium. Its description in RNAcentral is "partial 16S ribosomal RNA". It matches the Rfam family "Bacterial small subunit ribosomal RNA", at positions 524 to 776 of the family's 1533-position model. The record is from RNAcentral.